Molecule: unclassified non-coding RNA, 259 nt
Filed under: Hevea brasiliensis (rubber tree)
Lineage: Eukaryota; Viridiplantae; Streptophyta; Magnoliopsida; Malpighiales; Euphorbiaceae
Source: RNAcentral
UUUACAUUUUCAUUCUCUCUUACAACUGAUAAAUUGCAAAUCGCGUCAGGAUCAAGCUUCAUCUCAAAAAUUUAUUGGAAUCAAAGAUUCUCUUUUUCCAGUCUAAACGAUUUUGAAAUAAACGAUUUUGAGAUCAACCUUUCAGUACAAUAAAAUAAAAAACGAACCUUCACCAAUUGUUACAGCUUUGUCUUCUUAAGAUUUAAGAACAUGAAAUUUGCUGCUUGUAUGCCUACUAUACAACGAGGUGAGUUUUUUU